AAUGAACGCUGGCGGCGUGCCUAACACAUGCAAGUCGAACGAGAAACUCCGGGCUUGCUCGGAGAAGUAAAGUGGCGCACGGGUGAGUAACGCGUGGGUAACCUGCCCCUGAAUCUGGGAUAACUUCGCGAAAGCGUUGCUAAUACCGGAUAUUGUCCCUUUUGCUGUGGCUAAAGGGAUGAAAGGUGACCUAUUUAUGAAAGUUGCCGUUUAGGGAGGGGCUCGCGUACCAUUAGCUUGUUGGUGGGGUAAUGGCCUACCAAGGCUGCGAUGGUUAGCUGGUCUGAGAGGAUGAUCAGCCACACUGGAACUGAAACACGGUCCAGACUCCUACGGGAGGCAGCAGUGAGGAAUUUUGCGCAAUGGGGGAAACCCUGACGCAGCAACGCCGUGUGAGUGAAGAAGGCUUUCGGGUCGCAAAGCUCUGUCAAGUGGGAAAAAGGACUUUCGGUCAAUAGCCGGAAGGAUUGAUGGUACCACUAGAGGAAGCACCGGCUAACUCCGUGCCAGCAGCCGCGGUAAUACGGAGGGUGCAAGCGUUGUUCGGAAUUACUGGGCGUAAAGAGCGUGUAGGCGGUUUGGUAAGUCAGGUGUGAAAGCCCUGGGCUUAACCCAGGAAGUGCAUUUGAAACUACCUCACUUGAGUAUGGGAGAGGAGAGUGGAAUUCCCAGUGUAGAGGUGAAAUUCGUAGAUAUUGGGAGGAACACCCGUGGCGAAGGCGACUCUCUGGACCAAUACUGACGCUGAGACGCGAAAGCGUGGGGAGCAAACAGGAUUAGAUACCCUGGUAGUCCACGCCGUAAACGAUGAGAACUAGGUGUAGCGGGUAUUGACCCCUGCUGUGCCGGAGCUAACGCAUUAAGUUCUCCGCCUGGGGAGUACGGCCGCAAGGCUA
This 896-nucleotide ribosomal RNA is filed under the name uncultured delta proteobacterium. RNAcentral's name for it is "bacterial SSU rRNA". It matches the Rfam family "Bacterial small subunit ribosomal RNA", at positions 28 to 896 of the family's 1533-position model. The record is from RNAcentral. Lineage: Bacteria; Deltaproteobacteria.